AUACGGAGGUUGCAAGCGUUACUCGGAAUCACGGGGCGUAAAGCGCGCGCAGGCGGUCUUUUAAGUUGGAUGUGAAAGCCUACGGCUCAACCGUAGAACUGCAUCCAAAACUAUUAGACUAGAGUGUGGGAGAGGAAGAUGGAAUUAGUUGUGUAGGGGUAAAAUCCGUAGAGAUAAAUAGGAAUACCAAAAGCGAAGGCAAUCUUCUGGAACACUACUGACGCUGAGGCGCGAAAGCGUGGGGAGCAAACAGGAUUAGAAACCCUAGUAGUCC
This 274-nucleotide ribosomal RNA is filed under the name uncultured bacterium. RNAcentral's name for it is "partial 16S ribosomal RNA". It matches the Rfam family "Bacterial small subunit ribosomal RNA", at positions 523 to 796 of the family's 1533-position model. The record is from RNAcentral.